CCUACGGGAGGCAGCAGUGAGGAAUAUUGGGCAAUGGGCGUAAGCCUGAACGAGCCAAGUCGCGUGAGGGAUGAAGGUUCUAUGGAUCGUAAACCUCGUUUAUAAGGGAAUAAAGUGUGGGACGUGUCCUAUUUUGUAUGUACCUUAUGAAUAAGGAUCGGCUAACUUCGUGCCAGCAGCCGCGGUAAUACGGAGGAUCCGAGCGUUAUCCGGAUUUAUUGGGUUUAAAGGGUGCGUAGGCGGCCUCUUAAGUCAGCGGUGAAAGGCUGUGGCUCAACCCUAGAAUUGCCGUUGAAACUGGGGGACUUGAGUAUGUUUGAGGCAGGCGGAAGGCGGGGUGUAGCGGUGAAAUGCUUAGAUAUCACGCAGAACCCCGAUUGCGAAGGCAGCCCUCCAAGCCAUGACUGACGCUGAUGCACGAAAGCGUGGGGAUCAAACAGGAUUAGAUACCCUGGUAGUC
Molecule: ribosomal RNA, 460 nt
Filed under: uncultured bacterium
Lineage: Bacteria
Description: partial 16S ribosomal RNA
Rfam family: Bacterial small subunit ribosomal RNA
Source: RNAcentral